AUUGGCAUGGCUCCAGGCGUCGACGGGUAGCCGGCCUGAGAGGGUGACCGGCCACAUUGGGACUGAGAUACGGCCCAGACUCCUACGGGAGGCAGCAGUGGGGAAUAUUGCACAAUGGGCGCAAGCCUGAUGCAGCGACGCCGCGUGGGGGAUGACGGCCUUCGGGUUGUAAACUCCUUUCACUAGGGACGAAGCUUUUUUGACCGUACCCGCAAAAAAAACACCCGCCAACUACCUGCCCCCAGCCCCGGG
This 252-nucleotide ribosomal RNA is filed under the name uncultured bacterium. RNAcentral's name for it is "partial 16S ribosomal RNA". It matches the Rfam family "Bacterial small subunit ribosomal RNA", at positions 259 to 520 of the family's 1533-position model. The record is from RNAcentral.